UUAAAGGGGUUGGGUUCUCUUAAAGGUCACAUAAUCCCAAACCGGAACUCCUGUUUACAGGGUUACAUGCAGUCAAUUUGAUAUAUAGCACACAUUGUUCAGUGAAUGCUGCCUAGGAUUUGUAAAAUAGAAUGCAAAUGGUUGUUUUUGGUAUUAAUUUGAAGGUAUAUUUGUAAGCAAUAAGAAAAAAAAGCCAUUUUUGUGCUCUACUUUUUCUGUCGAUGGUUCCCGGCUUUGAAAGUAGGUCAUACUAUUUGAGUAAAAAUGGUCGCCUCCACAUGUGUCAAAACUGGUGUGCCUAUUCUAAGGUAAAUAUUUUGAGUUACAACACAUAGAAUUUGAUUGCAUGCAUUAUUUUCAAAAGAUUAUGCAUUUAUCUUUCCAAUGAUGUAUGAUGAUAUAGUGUUGAAACGCUUGGUCAUGGUAAAAAUUGAUAUCGAACAUCAACUAUUUUAUAUGUAAUAUAGAAGGAAAUUAAUUGCGCAUGCGUAACCUUUAAGAACUUCCGACCAAGUUAGUCGUCUGCCAGAAUUUUGACAAUUGACCAUCAAAAACUCUCUGUAUUGCAAAACAUAACUGCCAGAUGUCAUUUUGACCCAAAUUAGGGCUGUUUGCAAUUGGGCUGUAGCACUUGGGGUAAUACGGGGGGUAAAUGCUGGAAAAUCACACCGAAACCUGUUCCGGAGACAUAUUCUAAGACUACUUAAACACUCGGUAUUGUUUUUCAGUGACAUUUUGACAUUAAUUUGCAUCAAUCUCAAAAAUGAACCUAAUGCAUGUCUUUAUUUCAUCUGUAUCUAUUAUUAUUGUUUACUUUUUGAACCUUUUACUGUUAAAAAUGCCUGCCAAUAUUUGACCGACACUGUUAUUUGCCUUCGCUUUCAACCCCGUCAGGCAAUUCUACUCAGAAUAAGUUUUCAUAACACUACUUUGCCUUAUUUUUCCUGUUUGGAUAUCUUGCUGAGUUCAAGCAAAAUCAAGUGUUCAGCUGAAAACACAAAAAUGAUAAUAAUAUUAUGCUUUCUUUGCUGGAGGAAUGUUGUUGUCAUAGACCCCGCAUGAAAAACACCAGGGAAUCUGUAUUUAAGUGACCCCAUUAUCACUAUUAUUAUGCGUAAACCUAAGCGUGCAUUUGUAGGCGGUGUCGAAAUGGGUCUAUAGCUCUGUCUGAACUGUCGUCCAAUUGGUUUACAGGUCCGGCUGAAGUGACAGGCCAUCAAAAACUGUACAGCAUGACUGAUUCGGAGACAGCCCUCAACACUCGCCCAGUCGUGUCGAGAGGAUCGGUGUCUUUGUAGAUUACACGGAAUCGAGCACCCGGGCCAGACUGACACUUUCCGGAGCCUGUCCGAGACGGAACGCGAGCCUAGGAUUCAUAGGUCCAGGUCCGGCUGAAGUGACAGGCCAUCAAAAACUGUACAGCAUGACUGAUUCGGAGACAGCCCUCAACACUCGCCCAGUCGUGUCGAGAGGAUCGGUGUCUUUGUAGAUUACACGGAAUCGAGCACCCGGGCCAGACUGACACUUUCCGGAGCCUGUCCGAGACGGAACGCGAGCCUAGGAUUCAUAGGUCCAGGUCCGGCUGAAGUGACAGGCCAUCAAAAACUGUACAGCAUGACUGAUUCGGAGACAGCCCUCAACACUCGCCCAGUCGUGUCGAGAGGAUCGGUGUCUUUGUAGAUUACACGGAAUCGAGCACCCGGGCCAGACUGACACUUUCCGGAGCCUGUCCGAGACGGAACGCGAGCCUAGGAUUCAUAGGUCCAGGUGUGGCAAAAGACUUAAAGCUCAUGUCUGACGAUCACUUUUUUUGAGUCAGGAAUUCAAGUGUGUUGUAUUUCCAUGCAAGCAAGCCCUUUUGUUGGGUGAAAUGACAUCAGAAAUGCUGCUUCUACAUGGAUUUUACCUAAAAUGUGCCCCCCCCCCAAAAAAAGUUUGUUCGAAACCUGUUCAAAACCUGCUUUGAUGCACAAAUAUUGCCAUUGAUGAUUUUUGUCACUUCUUCAGUCAUCUGUUACAUCAACUUUGCCUAUUAGAAUCGAAAGUGAUGACUUGUAUGAAGUCUAAGUGCUGCAUGUAUGAUGAAACCAAGUUUGGCUUUUCUUCCAUAAUUCUUGACGCGAAACGCUGUUACGCAUGACGCUUUCAACGGCGACUUUUAUGAAUAAAUCUGUGUGUCAUUGUACCGGAACUUUGUGAUCUGUCUCAAAACUGAUUAUACCUGUGGGAAAAGUGCCUUUUAUAUAAAUUUAAAGGGGUUGGGUUCUCUUAAAGGUCACAUAAUCCCAAACCGGAACUCCUGUUUACAGGGUUACAUGCAGUCAAUUUGAUAUAUAGCACACAUUGUUCAGUGAAUGCUGCCUAGGAUUUGUAAAAUAGAAUGCAAAUGGUUGUUUUUGGUAUUAAUUUGAAGGUAUAUUUGUAAGCAAUAAGAAAAAAAAGCCAUUUUUGUGCUCUACUUUUUCUGUCGAUGGUUCCCGGCUUUGAAAGUAGGUCAUACUAUUUGAGUAAAAAUGGUCGCCUCCACAUGUGUCAAAACUGGUGUGCCUAUUCUAAGGUAAAUAUUUUGAGUUACAACACAUAGAAUUUGAUUGCAUGCAUUAUUUUCAAAAGAUUAUGCAUUUAUCUUUCCAAUGAUGUAUGAUGAUAUAGUGUUGAAACGCUUGGUCAUGGUAAAAAUUGAUAUCGAACAUCAACUAUUUUAUAUGUAAUAUAGAAGGAAAUUAAUUGCGCAUGCGUAACCUUUAAGAACUUCCGACCAAGUUAGUCGUCUGCCAGAAUUUUGACAAUUGACCAUCAAAAACUCUCUGUAUUGCAAAACAUAACUGCCAGAUGUCAUUUUGACCCAAAUUAGGGCUGUUUGCAAUUGGGCUGUAGCACUUGGGGUAAUACGGGGGGUAAAUGCUGGAAAAUCACACCGAAACCUGUUCCGGAGACAUAUUCUAAGACUACUUAAACACUCGGUAUUGUUUUUCAGUGACAUUUUGACAUUAAUUUGCAUCAAUCUCAAAAAUGAACCUAAUGCAUGUCUUUAUUUCAUCUGUAUCUAUUAUUAUUGUUUACUUUUUGAACCUUUUACUGUUAAAAAUGCCUGCCAAUAUUUGACCGACACUGUUAUUUGCCUUCGCUUUCAACCCCGUCAGGCAAUUCUACUCAGAAUAAGUUUUCAUAACACUACUUUGCCUUAUUUUUCCUGUUUGGAUAUCUUGCUGAGUUCAAGCAAAAUCAAGUGUUCAGCUGAAAACACAAAAAUGAUAAUAAUAUUAUGCUUUCUUUGCUGGAGGAAUGUUGUUGUCAUAGACCCCGCAUGAAAAACACCAGGGAAUCUGUAUUUAAGUGACCCCAUUAUCACUAUUAUUAUGCGUAAACCUAAGCGUGCAUUUGUAGGCGGUGUCGAAAUGGGUCUAUAGCUCUGUCUGAACUGUCGUCCAAUUGGUUUACAGGUCCGGCUGAAGUGACAGGCCAUCAAAAACUGUACAGCAUGACUGAUUCGGAGACAGCCCUCAACACUCGCCCAGUCGUGUCGAGAGGAUCGGUGUCUUUGUAGAUUACACGGAAUCGAGCACCCGGGCCAGACUGACACUUUCCGGAGCCUGUCCGAGACGGAACGCGAGCCUAGGAUUCAUAGGUCCAGGUGUGGCAAAAGACUUAAAGCUCAUGUCUGACGAUCACUUUUUUUGAGUCAGGAAUUCAAGUGUGUUGUAUUUCCAUGCAAGCAAGCCCUUUUGUUGGGUGAAAUGACAUCAGAAAUGCUGCUUCUACAUGGAUUUUACCUAAAAUGUGCCCCCCCCCCCCAAAAAAAGUUUGUUCGAAACCUGUUCAAAACCUGCUUUGAUGCACAAAUAUUGCCAUUGAUGAUUUUUGUCACUUCUUCAGUCAUCUGUUACAUCAACUUUGCCUAUUAGAAUCGAAAGUGAUGACUUGUAUGAAGUCUAAGUGCUGCAUGUAUGAUGAAACCAAGUUUGGCUUUUCUUCCAUAAUUCUUGACGCGAAACGCUGUUACGCAUGACGCUUUCAACGGCGACUUUUAUGAAUAAAUCUGUGUGUCAUUGUACCGGAACUUUGUGAUCUGUCUCAAAACUGAUUAUACCUGUGGGAAAAGUGCCUUUUAUAUAAAUUUAAAGGGGUUGGGUUCUCUUAAAGGUCACAUAAUCCCAAACCGGAACUCCUGUUUACAGGGUUACAUGCAGUCAAUUUGAUAUAUAGCACACAUUGUUCAGUGAAUGCUGCCUAGGAUUUGUAAAAUAGAAUGCAAAUGGUUGUUUUUGGUAUUAAUUUGAAGGUAUAUUUGUAAGCAAUAAGAAAAAAAAGCCAUUUUUGUGCUCUACUUUUUCUGUCGAUGGUUCCCGGCUUUGAAAGUAGGUCAUACUAUUUGAGUAAAAAUGGUCGCCUCCACAUGUGUCAAAACUGGUGUGCCUAUUCUAAGGUAAAUAUUUUGAGUUACAACACAUAGAAUUUGAUUGCAUGCAUUAUUUUCAAAAGAUUAUGCAUUUAUCUUUCCAAUGAUGUAUGAUGAUAUAGUGUUGAAACGCUUGGUCAUGGUAAAAAUUGAUAUCGAACAUCAACUAUUUUAUAUGUAAUAUAGAAGGAAAUUAAUUGCGCAUGCGUAACCUUUAAGAACUUCCGACCAAGUUAGUCGUCUGCCAGAAUUUUGACAAUUGACCAUCAAAAACUCUCUGUAUUGCAAAACAUAACUGCCAGAUGUCAUUUUGACCCAAAUUAGGGCUGUUUGCAAUUGGGCUGUAGCACUUGGGGUAAUACGGGGGGUAAAUGCUGGAAAAUCACACCGAAACCUGUUCCGGAGACAUAUUCUAAGACUACUUAAACACUCGGUAUUGUUUUUCAGUGACAUUUUGACAUUAAUUUGCAUCAAUCUCAAAAAUGAACCUAAUGCAUGUCUUUAUUUCAUCUGUAUCUAUUAUUAUUGUUUACUUUUUGAACCUUUUACUGUUAAAAAUGCCUGCCAAUAUUUGACCGACACUGUUAUUUGCCUUCGCUUUCAACCCCGUCAGGCAAUUCUACUCAGAAUAAGUUUUCAUAACACUACUUUGCCUUAUUUUUCCUGUUUGGAUAUCUUGCUGAGUUCAAGCAAAAUCAAGUGUUCAGCUGAAAACACAAAAAUGAUAAUAAUAUUAUGCUUUCUUUGCUGGAGGAAUGUUGUUGUCAUAGACCCCGCAUGAAAAACACCAGGGAAUCUGUAUUUAAGUGACCCCAUUAUCACUAUUAUUAUGCGUAAACCUAAGCGUGCAUUUGUAGGCGGUGUCGAAAUGGGUCUAUAGCUCUGUCUGAACUGUCGUCCAAUUGGUUUACAGGUCCGGCUGAAGUGACAGGCCAUCAAAAACUGUACAGCAUGACUGAUUCGGAGACAGCCCUCAACACUCGCCCAGUCGUGUCGAGAGGAUCGGUGUCUUUGUAGAUUACACGGAAUCGAGCACCCGGGCCAGACUGACACUUUCCGGAGCCUGUCCGAGACGGAACGCGAGCCUAGGAUUCAUAGGUCCAGGUCCGGCUGAAGUGACAGGCCAUCAAAAACUGUACAGCAUGACUGAUUCGGAGACAGCCCUCAACACUCGCCCAGUCGUGUCGAGAGGAUCGGUGUCUUUGUAGAUUACACGGAAUCGAGCACCCGGGCCAGACUGACACUUUCCGGAGCCUGUCCGAGACGGAACGCGAGCCUAGGAUUCAUAGGUCCAGGUCCGGCUGAAGUGACAGGCCAUCAAAAACUGUACAGCAUGACUGAUUCGGAGACAGCCCUCAACACUCGCCCAGUCGUGUCGAGAGGAUCGGUGUCUUUGUAGAUUACACGGAAUCGAGCACCCGGGCCAGACUGACACUUUCCGGAGCCUGUCCGAGACGGAACGCGAGCCUAGGAUUCAUAGGUCCAGGUCCGGCUGAAGUGACAGGCCAUCAAAAACUGUACAGCAUGACUGAUUCGGAGACAGCCCUCAACACUCGCCCAGUCGUGUCGAGAGGAUCGGUGUCUUUGUAGAUUACACGGAAUCGAGCACCCGGGCCAGACUGACACUUUCCGGAGCCUGUCCGAGACGGAACGCGAGCCUAGGAUUCAUAGGUCCAGGUGUGGCAAAAGACUUAAAGCUCAUGUCUGACGAUCACUUUUUUUGAGUCAGGAAUUCAAGU
This is a long non-coding RNA of Dreissena polymorpha, 6138 nucleotides long. RefSeq lists it as uncharacterized. The record is from RefSeq and is a predicted model, not a curated record. Lineage: Eukaryota; Metazoa; Mollusca; Bivalvia; Myida; Dreissenidae. The transcript is spliced from 14 exons.